UAGAGGCCUACCAUGGUGGUAACGGGUAACGGGGUGUUAGGGCACGACACCGGAGAGGGAGCCUGAGAAACGGCUACCACAUCCAAGGAUGGCAGCAGGCGCGUAAAUUACCCAAUCCCGACACGGGGAGGUAGUGACAAUAAAUAACAAUACGGGGUUCUUUAGGAUCACGUAAUUGGAAUGAGUACAAUUUAAAUCUCUUAACGAGGAACAAUUGGAGGGCAAGUCUGGUGCCAGCAGCCGCGGUAAUUCCAGCUCCAAUAGCGUAUAUUAAAGUUGUUGCAGUUAAAAAGCUCGUAGUUGAAUUUCGGGGUUAGUAGGUUGGUCAUGCCUCUGGUAUGUACUGGUCUCACUGAUUCCUCCUUCCUUAUGAACCGUAAUGCCAUUAAUUUGGUGUUGCGGGGAAUUUGGACUGUUACUUUGAAAAAAUUAGAGUGUUUAAAGCAAGCUAACGCUUGAAUACAUUAGCAUGGAAUAAUGAAAUAGGACGUUCGAUCUUAUUUUGUUGGUUUCUAGGAUUGACGUAAUGAUUAAUAGGGAUAGUUGGGGGCAUUAGUAUUCAAUUGUCAGAGGUGAAAUUCUUGGAUUUAUUGAAGACUAACUACUGCGAAAGCAUUUGCCAAGGAUGUUUUCAUUAAUCAAGAACGAAAGUUAGGGGAUCGAAGACGAUCAGAUACCGUCGUAGUCUUAACCAUAAACUAUGCCGACUAGGGAUCG
This 717-nucleotide ribosomal RNA is filed under the name uncultured fungus. RNAcentral's name for it is "SSU rRNA". It matches the Rfam family "Eukaryotic small subunit ribosomal RNA", at positions 334 to 1055 of the family's 1831-position model. The record is from RNAcentral. Lineage: Eukaryota; Fungi.